Molecule: ribosomal RNA, 292 nt
Filed under: uncultured bacterium
Lineage: Bacteria
Description: partial 16S ribosomal RNA
Source: RNAcentral
GGACUACUGGGGUUUCUAAUCCUGUUUGCUACCCACGCUUUCGUAGUUGAGUGUCAGUACUUGUCCAGGUCGCCGCCUUCGCCUCUGGUGUUCCUCCCGAUCUCUACGCAUUUCACCGCUACACCGGGAAUUCCACGACCCUCUCCAAGACUCCAGUCUGACCGUUUCAGGGGCACUUCUUGGGUUAAGCCCAAGGCUUUCACCCCUGACAAAUCAGACCACCUACCUACCCUUUACGCCCAAUAAUUCCGAGCAACGCUUGCACCCCUCGUAUUACCGCGGCGGCUGGCAC